Molecule: ribosomal RNA, 460 nt
Filed under: uncultured bacterium
Lineage: Bacteria
Description: partial 16S ribosomal RNA
Rfam family: Bacterial small subunit ribosomal RNA
Source: RNAcentral
CCUACGGGUGGCAGCAGUGAGGAAUAUUGGUCAAUGGGCGGAAGCCUGAACCAGCCAAGUAGCGUGCAGGAUGACGGCCCUACGGGUUGUAAACUGCUUUUAUACGGGAAUAACGCGCCUUACGUGUAGGGCUUUGCAUGUACCGUCUGCAUAAGGACCGGCUAAUUCCGUGCCAGCAGCCGCGGUAAUACGGAAGGUCCGGGAGUUAUCCGGAUUUUUGGGGGUUAAAGGGAGCAUAGGCCGAAUGUCAAGCCUGCUGGGAAAGGCCCGGGGUCAACCCGUGCCCUGCAGCGCGAACUGGCGUGCUUGAGUCCGCGGAAGGCAGGCGGAAUUCGUCGUGUAGCGGUGAAAUGCGUAGAUAUGACGAAGAACCCCGAUUGCGAAGGCAGCUUGCUGCAGCGGAACUGACGCUGAUGCUCGAAAGCGCGGGUAUCGAACAGGAUUAGAUACCCUGGUAGUC